Molecule: long non-coding RNA, 676 nt
Filed under: Heterocephalus glaber (naked mole-rat)
Lineage: Eukaryota; Metazoa; Chordata; Mammalia; Rodentia; Bathyergidae
Description: lncRNA (ENSHGLG00100037825.1)
Source: RNAcentral
CUUUCUCCUCAUAAGAUGGGUUUUGGGUUCCUUCUCCCUACUAUAAGAAGGAGGAAGCCACACCACCAGGCACUGGACCAGCAGGUCCCCUCUCAGCACAGUCCUGUCCUUGAUGCACUGGGUGUCCUGCAUCAGAGAGGAAGCUAGGUCUCCUUCCGACUUCCUAGUUCUGUGACUCUGGUCCUGGCCACCAGAACAUCAUCAGCCAUGGUCAAGCCUGACUUCUCGGGUGUGUCCCUAUCUGACAGUGGAAGGAGGAUGGGCCCUGGGGUGCUGCCUGGACUGCAGUCACAGCAAAGCAUCCCACCUUUUCCCAGAGAGCUCUACGGCCAACUCCAAGGAAAGACCGGACACCUGGCCCAGGCAGAGGCCUCACGUGCAGACAGGGUGCAGGAAUGGGUCCUCCAAACUGAAUAACCCAAUUAUGAGUCAUCUAAACACACUCCACCUGAACAGCUUCGUAUGUUAGAUCUGAAGGCAUCAAACCAGACUCUGUUUUUAUGCAGGGAUGCAACAGAUCCAUUUUAUUUAAACCAUGGAUUUUUUUUCCUUUUCAGUUUUUAUUUUUAAUUAGUCCAUGCUUGUAGUACAUAAUGAUUACAUUGUGCCCGGAAUUUAGCUCAGUGGUUCUGCUGCUGCCUGCCUUGAAAGUGCAAGGUCUGGAGUUCAAUCCUCA